CUUUUUCGUAUUAAAUGCGACCCGGAUGUUCUUCGCUCAUUGUUUGAAUGGCUGGUAUGUGGCGUGUUUGUGUGAAUGUUUGGUGAGUGCUUGAGUGAGUGAAAGCGAGUGAAAGUGGUGCGUUUGUGUGCGAGUAUGAAUUUCUUUAAAAACCUACACACUGAUCUUAUUUGAUCUGGUCUGAGUUUGGCUCUGCUCUGAUCGGAGAUGAUAGGAAACACGCUCGCAAGCCUCCGUGGCGAUGAGCAGCCGGCGAGAUUUUAACCUCCAGGGCUUCCACGCUUUAUGUUGUGGUCAGAGGUGAUGAAUUGAUCAGAUAUACUAGUUCUGGGUGAGUUUGGCUUCAUCUCAAGCUUCACAGUGGGCAAUGAGUAUAGAGGCGAUUCUGAUCUAA
This is a non-coding RNA of Chelmon rostratus (copperband butterflyfish), 394 nucleotides long. RefSeq annotates it as small Cajal body-specific RNA 2. The record is from RefSeq and is a predicted model, not a curated record. The transcript has a single exon. NCBI's taxonomy places the organism in Eukaryota, Metazoa, Chordata, Actinopteri, Chaetodontiformes, Chaetodontidae.